Molecule: ribosomal RNA, 440 nt
Filed under: uncultured bacterium
Lineage: Bacteria
Description: bacterial SSU rRNA
Rfam family: Bacterial small subunit ribosomal RNA
Source: RNAcentral
CCUACGGGAUGCACCAGCGGGGAAUAUUGGACAAUGGGCGAAAGCCUGAUCCAGCAAUGCCGCGUGUGUGAAGAAGGCCUUCGGGUUGUAAAGUACUUUCAGCGGGGACGAUGAUGACGGUACCCGUAGAAGAAGCCCCGGCUAACUUCGUGCCAGCAGCCGCGGUAAUACGAAGGGGACUAGCGUUGCUCGGAAUGACUGGGCGUAAAGGGCGCGUAGGCGGUUUAUGCAGUCAGAUGUGAAAUCCCCGGGCUUAACCUGGGAACUGCAUUUGAGACGCAUAGACUAGAGGUCGAGAGAGGGUUGUGGAAUUCCCAGUGUAGAGGUGAAAUUCGUAGAUAUUGGGAAGAACACUGGUGACGAAGGCGGCAACCUGGCUCGAUACUGACGCUGAGGCGCGAAAGCGUGGGGAGCAAACAGGAUUAGAUACCCUCGUAGUC